UAGAGGAAGUAAAAGUCGUAACAAGGUUUCCGUAGGUGAACCUGCGGAAGGAUCAUUAAUGAAUUAUUAGAAUGAUUUGNUGNUGCCUUGAAAAAGGAUUGUGCACAAUCUUUCAAUAUUCUACUUAACCACCUGUGCAUUUUUCAUAAGUCAUGAAUACAACUUAUCACUGAAAAUGUGGAUUUGAGACUUAGUUUAAUACUUUGUCUCAAUGGUAAUCAUGGCUUAUGUCUUUCUUAUACACACUAUUAAAAUGAAAUGAAUGUAUUACUUGUAGAGUUUACUCUAUAAUAAAUAAAAUACAACUUUCAGCAACGGAUCUCUUGGCUCUCGUAUCGAUGAAGAACGCAGCGAAAUGCGAUAAGUAAUGUGAAUUGCAGAAUUCAGUGAAUCAUCGAAUCUUUGAACGCACCUUGCACCCUUUGGUAUUCCGAAGGGUAUGCCUGUUUGAGUGUCAUUAAAUUCUCAAAUCAAACAAUUUUGGUUGUUUUGAUUUGGACUUGAGGGUUAUUGCUGUUCAUUCAGCUCCCUUGAAAUGUAUAUGUGGCAUUUGAUCCCCUUUUGUCCUUUGACAUGGUAAACUUAUCGAGUCAAUUUGUGUACAAUUGGUGUUGGAUUGUGCUGCUAUCAAACUGUCUUUAUUGACAAUUUUAUGAACUAUUGACCUCANAUCAGGNAGNACUACCCGCUGAACUUAAGCAUAUCAAUAAGCGG
RNAcentral lists this ribosomal RNA (714 nucleotides) under uncultured fungus. RNAcentral describes it as "eukaryotic LSU rRNA". The stretch from base 304 to 457 matches the Rfam family "5.8S ribosomal RNA". The record is from RNAcentral. Lineage: Eukaryota; Fungi.